Molecule: ribosomal RNA, 437 nt
Filed under: uncultured bacterium
Lineage: Bacteria
Description: bacterial SSU rRNA
Rfam family: Bacterial small subunit ribosomal RNA
Source: RNAcentral
AACGAACGCUGGCGGCAUGCCUAACACAUGCAAGUCGAACGAGACCUUCGGGUCUAGUGGCGCACGGGUGCGUAACGCGUGGGAAUCUGCCCCUUGGUUCGGAAUAACAGUUAGAAAUGACUGCUAAUACCGGAUGAUGACGAAAGUCCAAAGAUUUAUCGCCGAGGGAUGAGCCCGCGUAGGAUUAGCUAGUUGGUGAGGUAAAGGCUCACCAAGGCGACGAUCCUUAGCUGGUCUGAGAGGAUGAUCAGCCACACUGGGACUGAGACACGGCCCAGACUCCUACGGGAGGCAGCAGUGGGGAAUAUUGGACAAUGGGCGAAAGCCUGAUCCAGCAAUGCCGCGUGAGUGAUGAAGGCCUUAGGGUCGUAAAGCUCUUUUACCAGGGAUGAUAAUGACAGUACCUGGAGAAUAAGCUCCGGCUAACUCCGUGCCAG